UACGUAGGAGGCAAGCGUUGUCCGGAAUUACUGGGCGUAAAGCGCGUGUAGGUGGUGGGACAAGUCCGCCGUCAAAUCCCAGGGCUCAACCCUGGACAGGCGGUGGAAACUACCAAGCUGGAGUACGGUAGGGGCAGAGGGAAUUUCCGGUGGAGCGGUGAAAUGCAUUGAGAUCGAAAAGAACACCAACGGCGAAAGCACUCUGCUGGGCCGACACUGACACUGAGAGACGAAAGCUAGGGGAGCAAAUGGG
RNAcentral lists this ribosomal RNA (253 nucleotides) under uncultured bacterium. Its description in RNAcentral is "partial 16S ribosomal RNA". It matches the Rfam family "Bacterial small subunit ribosomal RNA", at positions 524 to 776 of the family's 1533-position model. The record is from RNAcentral.